RNAcentral lists this long non-coding RNA (1071 nucleotides) under Gallus gallus (chicken). RNAcentral's name for it is "lncRNA (ENSGALG00010018706.1)". The record is from RNAcentral. Lineage: Eukaryota; Metazoa; Chordata; Aves; Galliformes; Phasianidae.
AAUUUAACGUUUCGUUAUUUAAUUAUUAAAUUUGAUGUUAAAUAUUUGGGUAUGUAUGUUACCUUUUUCAGAUUAGUUCUAAAGCGAAGCAGGUACUCAUAGUUUGACUGAUGCAAUAGCAACCUUUAAAAAAUAGCCAUGAAGAAACAUUGGACCUUAGAAGUGUGGUUAGUAAUGACAUAUCAGUUUUAUUUUUCCUUGGCUGUUGCCAAAGGAGAAGGCCUGAUUUGUAAAAAUAAGCCAGUUUCUUUCAGGUGUUACUGCCUUGUCAGUUAAUAGAAACAGUUCUAGAGAUCAGUCUUUAAUUAAAGAAUACAAAUCUCUAUUAGCUUGAUACAUGUGGUUGGAUCAGGUCUUCAAGACCACCAAUGCAGCAGGAAUGUCCUGGUGAUGUCAUUAACCACAUACAGAAAGAACUGCAGAAAGCUGACUUGAAUUAUGCAGUGAACUAUGAGCAACGUUUAAUGAGCUGAGGAAAAUUGUGCUUUGUUAGUUAGCUUCACUCCCCAAAAGCCUCACAACAAACUGAAAGCGUGUCACAUUGGUCAUAUUCUUCUACUUAAUAAUUUGGACCAGAAUUUUCCUUGGUUUUGAAUGUAUAUUCUCUAAAAAGAGACUCAGCUUUUGGACUCAGAUGUGAAGAAGGCACUCGGGAGGCAUCGCCAAGAGUAGGUUGCUUAUGUCUGGAUCCUUCCUGAUGUACUUUGAUUCCUUCUGCUCCCACAGGGCAUACUGCCUUCCUUGACUCCUAUUCUUUCAUCCUGCCACUUACCAGCAGUCCUUCAAACAGGAGCAAUGAGUGGUUAGAAGAGAGUAUUAGCUGUUUUAUGGACUGAUGUAAUAACUCUCACUCCAGUAGGAAAAUACAGGAUCUUUUAAAAUUGCAUGUUUCUAAGUGUGACCUAGUUGGUAUAGCACAGAUCUGGAAUCUAACACUGUGUCAUCAGGCAGAUAAUUUAAUUCACCUCAUUUCUCUGUAAGAUGGGGAUAACAAUAAUCAUUCUUGAACAUGAUUCUUAAGAAUUGCUUUGUGUUGUGCACCUGAAAGAUGAUGAGCUGCUAAUUAAACAU